RNAcentral lists this ribosomal RNA (2905 nucleotides) under Klebsiella grimontii. RNAcentral's name for it is "23S ribosomal RNA". It matches the Rfam family "Bacterial large subunit ribosomal RNA". Lineage: Bacteria; Pseudomonadati; Pseudomonadota; Gammaproteobacteria; Enterobacterales; Enterobacteriaceae. The record is from RNAcentral.
GGUUAAGCGACUAAGCGUACACGGUGGAUGCCCUGGCAGUCAGAGGCGAUGAAGGACGUGCUAAUCUGCGAAAAGCGUCGGUAAGGUGAUAUGAACCGUUAUAGCCGGCGAUGUCCGAAUGGGGAAACCCAGUGCAAUUCGUUGCACUAUCGUUAACUGAAUACAUAGGUUAACGAGGCGAACCGGGGGAACUGAAACAUCUAAGUACCCCGAGGAAAAGAAAUCAACCGAGAUUCCCCCAGUAGCGGCGAGCGAACGGGGAGCAGCCCGGAGUCUGAAUCAGCUUGUGUGUUAGUGGAAGCGUCUGGAAAGUCGCAGGGUACAGGGUGAUACUCCCGUACACUAAAACACACAGGUUGUGAACUCGAAGAGUAGGGCGGGACACGUGGUAUCCUGUCUGAAUAUGGGGGGACCAUCCUCCAAGGCUAAAUACUCCUGACUGACCGAUAGUGAACCAGUACCGUGAGGGAAAGGCGAAAAGAACCCCGGCGAGGGGAGUGAAAAAGAACCUGAAACCGUGUACGUACAAGCAGUAGGAGCCUCUUUAUGGGGUGACUGCGUACCUUUUGUAUAAUGGGUCAGCGACUUAUAUUCUGUAGCAAGGUUAACCGUAUAGGGGAGCCGCAGGGAAACCGAGUCUUAACUGGGCGUUAAGUUGCAGGGUAUAGACCCGAAACCCGGUGAUCUAGCCAUGGGCAGGUUGAAGGUUGGGUAACACUAACUGGAGGACCGAACCGACUAAUGUUGAAAAAUUAGCGGAUGACUUGUGGCUGGGGGUGAAAGGCCAAUCAAACCGGGAGAUAGCUGGUUCUCCCCGAAAGCUAUUUAGGUAGCGCCUCGUGAACUCAUCUUCGGGGGUAGAGCACUGUUUCGGCUAGGGGGUCAUCCCGACUUACCAACCCGAUGCAAACUACGAAUACCGAAGAAUGUUAUCACGGGAGACACACGGCGGGUGCUAACGUCCGUCGUGAAGAGGGAAACAACCCAGACCGCCAGCUAAGGUCCCAAAGUCAUGGUUAAGUGGGAAACGAUGUGGGAAGGCCCAGACAGCCAGGAUGUUGGCUUAGAAGCAGCCAUCAUUUAAAGAAAGCGUAAUAGCUCACUGGUCGAGUCGGCCUGCGCGGAAGAUGUAACGGGGCUAAACCAUGCACCGAAGCUGCGGCAGCGACACUAUGUGUUGUUGGGUAGGGGAGCGUUCUGUAAGCCGUUGAAGGUGGCCUGUGAGGGUUGCUGGAGGUAUCAGAAGUGCGAAUGCUGACAUAAGUAACGAUAAUGCGGGUGAAAAACCCGCACGCCGGAAGACCAAGGGUUCCUGUCCAACGUUAAUCGGGGCAGGGUGAGUCGACCCCUAAGGCGAGGCCGAAAGGCGUAGUCGAUGGGAAACAGGUUAAUAUUCCUGUACUCGGUGUUACUGCGAAGGGGGACGGAGAAGGCUAUGUUGGCCGGGCGACGGUUGUCCCGGUUUAAGCAUGUAGGCGGAUGUUCCAGGUAAAUCCGGAACGUUAUCAACGCUGAGGUGUGAUGACGAGGCACUACGGUGCUGAAGUGACAAAUGCCCUGCUUCCAGGAAAAGCCUCUAAGCAUCAGGUAACAUCAAAUCGUACCCCAAACCGACACAGGUGGUCAGGUAGAGAAUACCAAGGCGCUUGAGAGAACUCGGGUGAAGGAACUAGGCAAAAUGGUGCCGUAACUUCGGGAGAAGGCACGCUGAUAUGUAGGUGAAGUGGUUUACCCAUGGAGCUGAAAUCAGUCGAAGAUACCAGCUGGCUGCAACUGUUUAUUAAAAACACAGCACUGUGCAAACACGAAAGUGGACGUAUACGGUGUGACGCCUGCCCGGUGCCGGAAGGUUAAUUGAUGGGGUUAUCCGUAAGGAGAAGCUCUUGAUCGAAGCCCCGGUAAACGGCGGCCGUAACUAUAACGGUCCUAAGGUAGCGAAAUUCCUUGUCGGGUAAGUUCCGACCUGCACGAAUGGCGUAAUGAUGGCCAGGCUGUCUCCACCCGAGACUCAGUGAAAUUGAACUCGCUGUGAAGAUGCAGUGUACCCGCGGCAAGACGGAAAGACCCCGUGAACCUUUACUAUAGCUUGACACUGAACACUGGUCCUUGAUGUGUAGGAUAGGUGGGAGGCUUUGAAGCGUGGACGCCAGUCUGCGUGGAGCCAUCCUUGAAAUACCACCCUUUAAUGGCUGGUGUUCUAACGUGGGCCCGUUAUCCGGGUUGCGGACAGUGUCUGGUGGGUAGUUUGACUGGGGCGGUCUCCUCCUAAAGAGUAACGGAGGAGCACGAAGGUCAGCUAAUCCUGGUCGGACAUCAGGAGGUUAGUGCAAUGGCAUAAGCUGGCUUGACUGCGAGCGUGACGGCGCGAGCAGGUGCGAAAGCAGGUCAUAGUGAUCCGGUGGUUCUGAAUGGAAGGGCCAUCGCUCAACGGAUAAAAGGUACUCCGGGGAUAACAGGCUGAUACCGCCCAAGAGUUCAUAUCGACGGCGGUGUUUGGCACCUCGAUGUCGGCUCAUCACAUCCUGGGGCUGAAGUAGGUCCCAAGGGUAUGGCUGUUCGCCAUUUAAAGUGGUACGCGAGCUGGGUUUAGAACGUCGUGAGACAGUUCGGUCCCUAUCUGCCGUGGGCGCUGGAGAAUUGAGGGGGCUGCUCCUAGUACGAGAGGACCGGAGUGGACGCAUCACUGGUGUUCGGGUUGUCAUGCCAAUGGCAUUGCCCGGUAGCUAAAUGCGGAAGAGAUAAGUGCUGAAAGCAUCUAAGCACGAAACUUGCCCCGAGAUGAGUUCUCCCUGACUCCUUGAGAGUCCUGAAGGAACGUUGAAGACGACGACGUUGAUAGGCCGGGUGUGUAAGCGCAGCGAUGCGUUGAGCUAACCGGUACUAAUGAACCGUGAGGCUUAACCUU